UACGGGGGGAGCAAGCGUUGUUCGGAUUUACUGGGCGUAAAGGGCGCGUAGGCGGCCACCGCAAGUCGACUGUGAAAUCUCCGGGCUUAACCCGGAAAGGUCAGCCGAUACUGCGGGGCUAGAGUGCAGAAGGGGCAACUGGAAUUCUCGGUGUAGCGGUGAAAUGCGUAGAUAUCGAGAGGAACACCUGCGGCGAAGGCGGGUUGCUGGGCUGACACUGACGCUGAGGCGCGAAAGCGUGGGGAGCAAACGGG
RNAcentral lists this ribosomal RNA (254 nucleotides) under uncultured bacterium. Its description in RNAcentral is "partial 16S ribosomal RNA". It matches the Rfam family "Bacterial small subunit ribosomal RNA", at positions 524 to 776 of the family's 1533-position model. The record is from RNAcentral.